RNAcentral lists this ribosomal RNA (253 nucleotides) under uncultured bacterium. Its description in RNAcentral is "partial 16S ribosomal RNA". It matches the Rfam family "Bacterial small subunit ribosomal RNA", at positions 524 to 776 of the family's 1533-position model. The record is from RNAcentral.
UACGUAGGGUGCAAGCGUUGUCCGGAAUUAUUGGGCGUAAAGAGCUCGUAGGCGGUCUGUCGCGUCGGCUGUGAAAACCCGGGGCUCAACCCCGGGCCUGCAGUCGAUACGGGCAGACUAGAGUGCGGUAGGGGAGACUGGAAUUCCUGGUGUAGCGGUGAAAUGCGCAGAUAUCAGGAAGAACACCUAUGGCGAAGGCAGCUCUCUGGGACGGUACUGACGCUGAGGUGCGAAAGCGUGGGGAGCAAACAGG